Molecule: ribosomal RNA, 253 nt
Filed under: uncultured bacterium
Lineage: Bacteria
Description: partial 16S ribosomal RNA
Rfam family: Bacterial small subunit ribosomal RNA
Source: RNAcentral
UACGUAGGUGACAAGCGUUGUCCGGAUUUACUGGGCGUAAAGAGCGCGCAGGCGGUCGAUCAAGUCGAGUGUGAAAGCCCCCGGCUCAACUGGGGAGGGUCAUUCGAUACUGAUCGACUCGAAGGCAGGAGAGGGUAGUGGAAUUCCCGGUGUAGUGGUGAAAUGCGUAGAUAUCGGGAGGAACAUCAGUGGCGAAAGCGGCUUCCUGGACCAGAACUGACGAUCAGGCUCGAAAGCGUGGGGAGCAAACAGG